This 354-nucleotide ribosomal RNA is filed under the name Euplotes focardii. Its description in RNAcentral is "partial Bacterial large subunit ribosomal RNA". It matches the Rfam family "Bacterial large subunit ribosomal RNA", at positions 1119 to 1483 of the family's 2925-position model. Lineage: Eukaryota; Ciliophora; Spirotrichea; Euplotida; Euplotidae. The record is from RNAcentral.
UCCCCUAAAGAGUGCGUAACAGCUCACUGGUCGAGCGAUCGCGCGCAGAUAAUGAUCGGGCAUCAAGUAUACCACCGAAGCUAUGCCUUGUACUUUGUACAGGGGUAGGGGAGCAUUCCAAUGGCGGCGAAGUUUUGUCGUAAGGCAUUGUGGAGCGAUUGGAAAAGAAAAUGUAGGCAUAAGUAACGAUAAUGAAGAUGAGAAAUCUUCACACCGCAAGACUAAGGUUUCCACAGCUAUGUUAAUCAACUGUGGGUUAGCCGGGACCUAACGCGUACCCGAAAGGGGAAGUGGAUGGAAAUUGGGUUAAUAUUCCCAAGCCAGUCAGGAAGUGACGGAGAGACGUGGCAGCUA